Long non-coding RNA from Astatotilapia calliptera (eastern happy), 2046 nucleotides. The record is from Ensembl. NCBI's taxonomy places the organism in Eukaryota, Metazoa, Chordata, Actinopteri, Cichliformes, Cichlidae.
GAGAUAUUGAAUUCAUCCCCUUCACAUUUGCUGCAAAGUAUUUGCUUCUCGUUUAAUUGAAAUCCCCGCUUUCUUCUCAUAACUGUGUGGAUGUUGCGUAUUAUCAGCAGGUUUCCUUGGCGGAGGAGAUCAAGCCGUUGAAGUGGUAUCCCUCAGUUUACCUGCUCGUGUCCAUCUUUCCCCUCAUCAACAGGCUCCAUAACGCCUUCUACCCUAAAGCACCGUCCUUCUACCUCACACUUCUGCACGUCCUGUCGGCACCACUCCACGGCUUGGCCAAUGCCUUUGUGUUUGGCCUGAAUAGGGAUUGGUGGAGCCUCCUGAGCCCAACUGGCAUGCAGCUGGCUCUGCAGUCACGGCUCUGUGACAGAACACGGAUUGGAGAGUACUACCCCGGGGCGGUGCGCUACACGCAGGCUGACCUGGCCGACCUCAGCGAUGACGAUGACACCAAUGUGCUCUUCUACUCUCCUGACAUGACCCUGAAAGACCGAGGGCCCUGAGAGAGCGGGAGGGAGGGAGAGCGAGGGAGACAAAAGAGAUGGAGGGAAGGAACACGAAGGAGGGUCAGAGCCAGAGAGAAACGCAGCAGAUUAGAAACUGAGAGGGAGGAAAAAGAGGUAGGGAGGGAAUGGAAGGGAAGAUUGUGGGGGACAGUCAGGCAGAUAGGAGCCGGAGAUGAGCUGUCAGGUUCCAUUAUUAAUCCCCAUCCUUUACUAUUUAAUAUCCUAAAGACACACACACCACACAUACUGAACAGAGCUCCAGCUCAGCGCAUUACUACAAGAGAAGGGGAAGGACUAGGGCGCUGUAAAGAUCCUCUCGAUGUUAAACGCAUCUGCUUCUUCCCAAAAAGGUCUUGAAACGAUUUCCCUCUCUGCAUCGUAUUCUGUACGUCUGCAGCAUUUCGGCAUGCCACAACAAUAAAAUGGAGAAAAAAAGAACCCAUAAGGACCGCUGAAAGGCAAUCAUAACAAGGUGUUCCUUUAGCAUUCUCUUUUCACGUCUCUGCAGGAGAUUAGUUGAAAAGGAGGCCUUUAAGAUGUAUCCCGUGUGUCUGACGUGAAAGCAUCUGCAUCUACCCUGAGAUUGAUCCUGCUACUGAACAAUUUUCUUGCCAACAGGGGGGUUGUGGGUGCGGAGUUGAACUACAGAAGUGGGAGGGGUUAUAAACAGUCAAGAUGCCUCAACAGGGCAACUAAAUCCCAAAGCACCCAUGUCACCUUCCUCACAGUAUUUGUUUUCUGCCUGUUUUUUGUUCCUGUUGAUGCAACUGCUGCACAUGUAUUCACUUCUGGAAGGUUAUUUUGUAUUUUUUUUUUUUAAUGAAAAAUACUACACUUGUUUGUUAUACAAUAUUUCUAACAGAUCAAUGUAUUGUACAUAUUUAACUGUACACUCUAUUUUUGUACUUUGCCUUGGACCAGAUGAGAUGAAACUUUUUUCUUGGUCCAGAUCUGCUGCUCGGCGGUGUCCGUCAAGCAGAACCGAAUUCAACACACACAGCCUUAUGAACAACUACAGAGAGAUGCUUUUGGUCAAAUAAAUCCCCUGGUAGACACACACACGGAUACUUUUUUAUUUUUUUAUUUUUAUUUGUUUCUUUAAGGUGCCUCUGCCAGCCUGUUUUGAAGUAAGGAACAGUGUCGCUGAUUGUCAGGCUAAUAGCGUGAACCACCUGCUAUGCUCUGCCACAGCCCAUUUGGUUUUUUCUGGUUUCAAGCCUUCGUUACGGUCGGAUCUCUCCCAGCCGUCAGCUCCGUCUUUGCCAAACUGAACUACGAAAACCAACUCUUGACCUUUUUGUUUUAAAUCUUUUCUGCCGAGUGUCAGCCACACCUGGGUGAAACUUUGGUUUGCAGUUCACAAUCACACCACCGUAUCACCCACACUGCCCCCCCCCCACCCCGGCACUGUUGCUGGUUUGAUUCGGCUGCGCACUCCAUCAAAUAAAUGAGCAGGAGAGACAUUUCAUAACAAAGCUGAGACUAGGCCUGUUUAUUUCAUUUUCACAUUGAUGCCAUUCCUCAUUCCCACUUGCCUGCC